CCAAAUCCCCCGCAGUGCAUGCCGAAGAGUGGAAGGUCUAUAUC
RNAcentral lists this transfer RNA (44 nucleotides) under Palpitomonas bilix. RNAcentral's name for it is "partial Selenocysteine transfer RNA". The record is from RNAcentral.